RNAcentral lists this ribosomal RNA (273 nucleotides) under uncultured Spirochaeta sp. Its description in RNAcentral is "partial 16S ribosomal RNA". It matches the Rfam family "Bacterial small subunit ribosomal RNA", at positions 1114 to 1382 of the family's 1533-position model. The record is from RNAcentral. Lineage: Bacteria; Pseudomonadati; Spirochaetota; Spirochaetia; Spirochaetales; Spirochaetaceae.
GUUGCCACCGACGAGAGGUGGGGACUCAGGCGGGACCGCCGGUGGACAAACCGGAGGAAGGUGGGGACGACGUCAAGUCCAGUCAUGGCCCUUAUGUCCUGGGCUACACACGUGCUACAAUGGCCGGUACAGAGCGCAGCGAGGCCGCGAGGACGGAGCGAAUCGCUUAAAGCCGGUCCCAGUACGGAUUGGAGUCUGCAACCCGACUCCAUGAAGUUGGAAUCGCUAGUAAUCGCGCAUCAGCAUGGCGCGGUGAAUACGUUCCCGGGCCUU